This 464-nucleotide ribosomal RNA is filed under the name uncultured bacterium. RNAcentral's name for it is "partial 16S ribosomal RNA". It matches the Rfam family "Bacterial small subunit ribosomal RNA", at positions 339 to 795 of the family's 1533-position model. The record is from RNAcentral.
CUACGGGACGCAGCAGUGAGGAAUAUUGCGCAAUGGGGGAAACCCUGACGCAGCGACGCCGCGUGGAUGAUGAAGGCCUUAGGGUCGUAAAAUCCUGUCAGGUGGGAAGAAGUGGAUAUAGAUUAAUACUCUAUUUCUUUGACGGUACCACCAAAGGAAGCACCGGCUAACUCCGUGCCAGCAGCCGCGGUAAUACGGAGGGUGCAAACGUUGUUCGGAAUUACUGGGCGUAAAGCGCGCGUAGGCGGUUUGUUAAGUCAGAUGUGAAAGUCCACGGCUCAACUAUGGAAGUGCAUUUGAACUGGCAGACUUGAGUACUGGAGGGGGUGAUGGAAUUCCCGGUGUAGAGGUGAAAUUCGUAGAUAUCGGGAGGAAUACCGGUGGCGAAGGCGAUCACCUGGCCAGAUACUGACGCUGAGGUGCGAAAGCGUGGGGAGCAAACAGGAUUAGAUACCCCCGUAGUC